This 3168-nucleotide long non-coding RNA is filed under the name Gallus gallus (chicken). Its description in RNAcentral is "lncRNA (ENSGALG00010000421.1)". The record is from RNAcentral. Lineage: Eukaryota; Metazoa; Chordata; Aves; Galliformes; Phasianidae.
UGGGUCUCUAUGGGGUCGUGAAGUCAGUGGGAUUGGAGAUGGGGCUCUAUGGGGUCGUGAAGUCAGUGGGAUUGGAGAUGGGGCUUCAUGGGGUCGUGAAGUCAGUGGGAAUGGGGAAUGGGGCUUUAUGGGGUCGUGAAGUCAUUGGGAUUGGAGAUGGGGCUUUAUGGGGUCGUGAAGUCAGUGGGAAUGGGGUAUGGGGCUUUAUGGGGUCGUGAAGUCAGUGGGAAUGGGGAGUGGGGCUCUAUGGGGUCGUGAAGUCAGUGGGAAUGGGGAGUGGGGCUCUAUGGGGUCGUGAAGUCAGUGGGAAUGGGGUAUGGGGCUCUAUGGGGUUUUGAAGUCAGUGGGAAUGGGGUGUGGGGCUCUAUGGGGUCGUGAAGUCAUUGGGAAUGGGGAUUGGGGUUCUAUGGGGUCCUGAAGUCUUUGGGAUUGGAGCCCAUCCCCAUCCCAUCCCCACCCCAUAUCCCACCCCAUAUCCCACCCCAUCCCCGCUCCCACUCCACUGCUGGCCCCACUGCCCUCCCAUCGGCCCCAUUGCUCUCCUGCUGGCCCUAUUACUCUCCUGUUGGCCCCAUUACUUUUCUGUUGGCCCUAUUACUUUUCUAUUGACCCCAUUGCUUUUCUGCUGACCCCAUUGCUCUCCUGCUGGCCCUAUUACUCUCCUGCUGGCCCUAUUACUUUCCUAUUGGCCCCAUUGCUCUCCUAUCGGCCCCAUUACUUUCCUAUCGGCCCCACUGCUCUCCUGUCGGCCCCACUGCUCUCCUGUUGGCCCCACUGCCCUCCUGCUGGCCCCAUUACUCUCCUAUUAGCCCUAUUGCUCUCCUGUUGGCCCCAUUACUUUCCUAUUGGCCCUAUUACUCUCCUGCUGGCCCUAUUACUCUCCUAUCAGCCCCAUUGUUGUUCUCCUGGCCCCAUUGCUCCCCUAUCAGCCCCAUUGCUCUCCUGUUUGCCCCAUUACCCUCCUGCUGGCCCUAUUACUCUCCUACUGGCCCCAUUGCUCUCCUGUCGGCCCUAUUACUCUCGUGCUGGCCCCAUUACUUUCCUGUCAGCCCCACUGCCCUCCUGCUGGCCCUAUUACUCUCCUAUUGGCCCCAUUGUUCUUCUCCUGGCCCCACUGUUCUCCUGUCGGCCCCAUUGCUCUCCUGCUGGCCCUAUUACUCUCCUAUCGGCCCCAUUGCACUCCUGCUGGCCCCAUUGCUCUCCUCCUGGCCCCAUUACUUUUCUAUCGGCCCCAUUGCUCUCCUGUCGGCCCCAUUACUCUCCUAUCGGCCCCAUUGCUCUCCUAUCGGCCCCAUUGCUCUCCUGUCGGCCCCAUUACUCUCCUAUCGGCCCCAUUGCUCUCCUGUUGACCCCAUUGCUCUCCUGCUGACCCUAUUACUUUCCUGUUGGCCCCAUUUCUCUCUCAUUGGCCCCAUUGCUCCCCUCUGGGUCCCACUGCUCUCCUCCUGGCCCCAUUACUUUUCUCUCGGCCCCAUUGCUCUCCUAUCGGUCCUAUUACUCUCCUAUCAGCCCCAUUGCUCUCCUAUCGGCCCUAUUAUUCUCAUAUCAGCCCCAUUACUUUCCUAUCGGCCCCAUUGCUCUCCUGCUGGCCCCAUUACUUUUCUGUUGGCCCUAUUACUUUUCUAUUGACCCCAUUGCUUUUCUGCUGACCCCACUGCUCUCCUAUCGGCCCUAUAACUCUCCUGUCAGCCUCAUUGCUCUCCUGUUGGCCCCAUUACUUUCCUAUCGGCCCCAUUGUUCUCCUGUUGGCCCUAAUACUUUUCUAUUGACCCCAUUGCUUUUCUGCUGGCCCCAUUACUUUCCUAUUGGCCCCAUUGUUCUCCUGUUGGCCCCAUUACUUUUCUGUUGGCCCUAUUACUUUUCUAUUGACCCCAUUGCUUUUCUGCUGACCCCACUGCUCUCCUAUCGGCCCCACUGCUCUCCUGUCGGCCCCAUUGCUCUCCUGCUGGCCCCAUUACUUUCCUGCUGGCCCCAUUGCUCUCCUGCUGGCCCUAUUGCUCUCCUGCUGGCCCUGUUACUCUCCUAUUGGCCCCAUUGCACUCCUGUCAGCCCUAUUACUCUCAUGCUGGCCCCAUUACUUUCCUAUUGGCCCCACUGCUCUCCUGCUGGCCCUAUUACUCUCCUGCUGGCCCCAUUUCUCUCCUCCUGGCCCCAUUGUUCCCCUAUCAGCCCCAUUGCUCUCCUGUUGGCCCCACUGCCCUCCUGCUGGCCCUAUUACUCUCCUAUUGGCCCCAUUGUUCUUCUCCUGGCCCCACUGUUCUCCUGUCGGCCCCAUUGCUCUCCUGCUGGCCCCAUUGCUCUCCUCCUGGCCCCAUUACUUUUCUAUCGGCCCCAUUGCUCUCCUCCUGGCCCUAUUACUCUCCUGCUGGCCCCAUUGCUCUCCUAUUGGCCCUAUUAGUCUCCUAUCGGCCCCAUUGCUCUCCUCCUGGCCCCAUUACUUUCCUAUUGGCCCCAUUGCUCUCCUGUCGGCCCCAUUGCUCUCCUGCUGGCCCUAUUACUCUCCUAUUGGCCCCAUUGCUCUCCUGUCGGCCCCAUUACUUUCCUAUCGGCCCCAUUACUUUCCUAUCGGCCCUAUUACUCUCCUGCUGGCCCCAUUGCUCUCCUGCUGGCCCUAUUACUUUUCUGUUGGCCCUAUUACUUUUAUAUUGACCCCACUGCUUUUCUACUGACCCCAUUGCUCUCCUGCUGGCCCUAUUGCUCUCCUAUCGUCCCCAUUGCUCUCCUGCUGGCCCCAUUACUCUCCUGUCAGCCCCAUUGCUGUCCUGCUGGCCCCAUUACUCUCCUGUCAGCCCCACUGCUCUCCUGUUGGCCCCAUUGCCCCCAUAUCAGCCCCACUGCUCUCCUCCCGGCCCCAUUGCCUUCCUUUUGGCCCCACUCCUCUCCUCUGGGCCCCACUGCUCUCCUUUUGGCCCCAUUGCUCUCCUGCGGUUGUGGGGUGGAGGAUAUGGGGUGGGGGUUGUGGGGUGGAGGUUAUGGGGUUGGAGACACCGUGGGGUCUUUCCCAGGGAGGGGGCGAAGCGCUGCUGCACGGAAGGUCGGCUCAGGGAAGGUGGCACAGUGUGACUUCCGCCUCUCCUUCCUCCUCAUCUUCCUCCUCCUCUUCCUCCUCACCUCCCUCCUCUCCUCACCUUCCUCAUCUCCCUCCUCAUCUUCAUCCUCUCCUUCCUC